RNAcentral lists this ribosomal RNA (585 nucleotides) under uncultured bacterium. Its description in RNAcentral is "partial 16S ribosomal RNA". It matches the Rfam family "Bacterial small subunit ribosomal RNA", at positions 355 to 1375 of the family's 1533-position model. The record is from RNAcentral.
UGGGGAAUUUUGGACAAUGGGCGAAAGCCUGAUCCAGCAAUGCCGCGUGUGUGAAGAAGGCCUUCGGGUUGUAAAGCACUUUUGUCCGGAAAGAAAUCCUUGGCUCUAAUACAGUCGGGGGAUGACGGUACCGGAAGAAUAAGCACCGGCUAACUACGUGCCAGCAGCCGCGGUAAUACGUAGGGUGCAAGCGUUAAUCGGAAUUACUGGGCGUAAAGCGUGCGCAGGCGGUUUGCUAAGACCGAUGUGAAAUCCCCGGGCUCAACCUGGGAACUGCAUUGGUGACUGGCAGGCUAGAGUAUGGCAGAGGGGGGUAGAAUUCCACGUGUAGCAGUGAAAUGCGUAGAGAUGUGGAGGAAUACCGAUGGCGAAGGCAGCCCCCUGGGCCAAUACUGACGCUCAUGCACGAAAGCGUGGGGAGCAAACAGGAUUAGAUACCCUGGUAGUCCACGCCCUAAACGAUGUCAAUUAGUUGUUGGGGAUUCAUUUCCUUAGUAACGUAGCUAACGCGUGAAGUUGACCGCCUGGGGAGUACGGUCGCAAGAUUAAAACUCAAAGGAAUUGACGGGGUCAUAGCUGUUUCCU